RNAcentral lists this ribosomal RNA (1348 nucleotides) under metagenome. Its description in RNAcentral is "bacterial LSU rRNA". It matches the Rfam family "Bacterial large subunit ribosomal RNA", at positions 1564 to 2925 of the family's 2925-position model. The record is from RNAcentral.
UGAGUGCGAGCGGCUACGGCCGCGAAGUGGGUGAUGUCAAGCUCCCAAGAAAAGCCCUAUACCCGUUAAGGCAUGAUGGCCUGUACCCGAAACCGACACAGGUGGGGUGGUAGAGAAUACCGAGGGGCGCGAGGUAACUCUCUCUAAGGAACUCGGCAAAAUGGCCCCGUAACUUCGGGAGAAGGGGUGCCACCGCAAGGUGGUCGCAGUGAAGAGGCCCAGGCGACUGUUUACCAAAAACACAGGUCUCCGCUAAGUCGCAAGACGAUGUAUGGGGGCUGACGCCUGCCCAGUGCCGGAAGGUUAAGGAAGCUGGUCAGCGCAAGCGAAGCUGGCUACUGAAGCCCCGGUGAACGGCGGCCGUAACAAUAACGGUCCUAAGGUAGCGAAAUUCCUUGUCGGGUAAGUUCCGACCCGCACGAAAGGCGUAACGAUCUGGGCGCUGUCUCGGAGAGAGGCUCGGCGAAAUAGAAUUGUCUGUGAAGAUGCGGACUACGUGCACCCGGACAGAAAGACCCUAUGAAGCUUUACUGUAGCUUGGUAUUGUGCCCGGGCUCUGAAUGCGCAGGAUAGGUGGGAGGCUUUGAUCCAUGGCUUGCGGGUCAUGGUGAGCCAACGGUGAGAUACCACUCUUUCAGAGCUAGGGUUCUAACGGUCACCCGUCAUCCGGGGACCGGACAGUAUCAGGUGGGCAGUUUGACUGGGGCGGUCGCCUCCUAAAAGGUAACGGAGGCGCGCAAAGGUUUGCUCAGGCUGGUUGGAAAUCAGCUGACGAGUGCAAAAGCAGAAGCAAGCUUGACUGUGAGACCUACAAGUCGAACAGGGACGAAAGUCGGCUUUAGUGAUCCGACGGUUCUGAGUGGAAGGGCCGUCGCUCAACGGAUAAAAGUUACUCUAGGAUAACAGGCUGAUCUCCCCCAAGAGUUCACAUCGACGGGGAGGUUUGGCACCUCGAUGUCGGCUCAUCGCAACCUGGGGCUGAAGUCGGUCCCAAGGGUUGGGCUGUUCGCCCAUAAAAGCGGUACGCGAGCUGGGUUCAGAACGUCGUGAGACAGUUCGGUCCAUAUCCGGUGCACGCGCAGGAACAUUGAGAGGAUUUCUCCCUAGUACGAGAGGACCGGGAGGAACGCACCUCUGGUGUGCCAGUUAUCGUGCCAACGGUAAACGCUGGGUAGCCAUGUGCGGAGUGGAUAACCGCUGAAAGCAUCUAAGUGGGAAGCCCACCUCAAGAUGAGUGUUCCCAUGGCAUAAGCCAGUAAGGUCACGGGAAGAACACCCGUUGAUAGGCUCUACGUGGAAGCCGGGUAACCGGUGAAGCGGAGGAGUACUAAUAGACCGAGGGCUUGAC